UACGGAGGGGGCUAGCGUUGUUCGGAAUUACUGGGCGUAAAGCGCACGUAGGCGGCUUUGCAAGUCAGAGGUGAAAGCCCGGGGCUCAACCCCGGAAUUGCCUUUGAGACUGCAUCGCUAGAAUUGUGGAGAGGUAAGUGGAAUUCCGAGUGUAGAGGUGAAAUUCGUAGAUAUUCGGAAGAACACCAGUGGCGAAAGCGGCUUCCUGGUCCGACACCGACGUUCAGGCACGAAAGCGUGGGGAGCAAACAGG
RNAcentral lists this ribosomal RNA (253 nucleotides) under uncultured bacterium. Its description in RNAcentral is "partial 16S ribosomal RNA". It matches the Rfam family "Bacterial small subunit ribosomal RNA", at positions 524 to 776 of the family's 1533-position model. The record is from RNAcentral.